UACGAAGGGUGCAAACGUUGCUCGGAAUUAUUGGGCGUAAGGCGCACGUAGGCGGCUUUGCAAGUCGGAUGUGAAAUCCCUCGGCUUAACCAAGGAAGUGCAUCCGAAACUGCAGAGCUUGAGUACUUAAGAGGAUCGCGGAAUUCCCGGUGUAGAGGUGAAAUUCGUAGAUAUCGGGAGGAACACCAGUGGCGAAGGCGGCGAUCUGGGAAGAUACUGACGCUGAGGUGCGAAAGCGUGGGGAGCAAACAGG
RNAcentral lists this ribosomal RNA (253 nucleotides) under uncultured bacterium. RNAcentral describes it as "partial 16S ribosomal RNA". It matches the Rfam family "Bacterial small subunit ribosomal RNA", at positions 524 to 776 of the family's 1533-position model. The record is from RNAcentral.